UACUCAUACAGAGCUUACAAGCCUAAGUAGUGUUUCCUUGUUAGAAGAUACAAAACCAAAGACAAGGACUCAUACGGACUUCGACUACACCAUCAAAGCGUUGAGAACCAAGAAAAAGCUUGGUUAGUGUUUUGGAGUAGAAUAUGACUUGAUGCCAUGUGUAUGAUUAAGUAUAAGAACUUUA
Molecule: small RNA, 184 nt
Filed under: Arabidopsis thaliana (thale cress)
Lineage: Eukaryota; Viridiplantae; Streptophyta; Magnoliopsida; Brassicales; Brassicaceae
Description: ATSL270690
Source: RNAcentral